ACUGGGCAUGGGAGGAAUCCCCUGGGUUAUAAUGUCUGAGGUAUUUCCUAUAAACAUGAAGGGCUCAGCUGGAAGUCUUGUGACAGUAGUUAAUUGGUUAGGUUCUUGGAUUAUUUCCUAUGCUUUUAACUUCAUAAUGGAUUGGAGUUCAUCAGGAACAUUCUUCAUAUUCGCAAGUAUAUGUGGCGUAACCGUUUUGUUUGUUUCGAAGCUGGUACCAGAGACCAAGGGACGAACAUUGGAAGAAAUACAAGCAUCCAUGAAUCCAUUUACAGCAAACUGAUGAAUUUGGCAUCUUCACCUUGCAUUCAUUUUGUGUUUUCAUGGAUUCCAACGAGCCCGAUGGUACUGUAACUCGUGCAAACCUCUGAUGGAAAAUUUACCUGGAUGUUUUAGUACUGAGUAUGCACAAACGUAUUGGUCUGUGAUAAACAAGCU
This 438-nucleotide unclassified non-coding RNA is filed under the name Hevea brasiliensis (rubber tree). Lineage: Eukaryota; Viridiplantae; Streptophyta; Magnoliopsida; Malpighiales; Euphorbiaceae. The record is from RNAcentral.